AUACUUACCUGGCACAGGAGUGACUUUGAUCAAGAAGGAAUGUCCUCCCAAGGUGAGGCCUCGGCAUUGCACUUGGCUGAGGUUGACCCUUGCGAUUCCCCCAAAUGUGGGGAACUCGGGUGUAUAAUUUAUGGUAGCGGGGGACUGCGUUCGCGCUAACCCCUA
RNAcentral lists this small nuclear RNA (165 nucleotides) under Anneissia japonica. Its description in RNAcentral is "U1 spliceosomal RNA". It matches the Rfam family "U1 spliceosomal RNA". Rfam says of the family: U1 is a small nuclear RNA (snRNA) component of the spliceosome (involved in pre-mRNA splicing). The record is from RNAcentral. Lineage: Eukaryota; Metazoa; Echinodermata; Crinoidea; Comatulida; Comatulidae.